UAUAGUUUUCAUGAUGAAACUUUCGGUGAGAAUUCGGGGUGAUUGGUUUGCUGUUCCUUGUAAGGGUACAGAAAAAAUAUUUUGGUUUGGAGAAGAAUGCUUGAGAAGAUUUUACAAAGCCAAGAACAACGUUGGUCAUGCUAAAGAAAGGGUGUUUGAAAUACGGAAGGCUAAAGGAGGUGCUAUUUUGGAUCGAGAUGACCUUAUUAAAGACGUACUGGAUGAUAAUGAUUUCUUAACAGUCGUUUUGGAGAGUGAUAUGUCAAGUCCCGUGACAGGACCAGCAGAAAUCGUUUAUGUUGAAGAAAAGGUACACCAGCCAGAAUAUUCAAAGACUGUAGAGUAUCUAUCACUGGAUGGUAACAGCCUGACUACUGAUGAUCUCGUUAGAAUUGGUAAAACUGAAUACUUAGUCAAGCUAACUAGUGAAGCAGAAGAAAAUGUCAAGAAAUCAAGAUUGCUUGUAGAGGAUAUACUUGCAACUAAAAAAG
Patella vulgata (common limpet) is the source of this 491-nucleotide long non-coding RNA. RefSeq lists it as uncharacterized. The record is from RefSeq and is a predicted model, not a curated record. Lineage: Eukaryota; Metazoa; Mollusca; Gastropoda; Patellidae. The transcript has 5 exons.